This 463-nucleotide ribosomal RNA is filed under the name uncultured bacterium. RNAcentral's name for it is "partial 16S ribosomal RNA". It matches the Rfam family "Bacterial small subunit ribosomal RNA", at positions 28 to 507 of the family's 1533-position model. The record is from RNAcentral.
GAUGAACGCUGACAGAAUGCUUAACACAUGCAAGUCUUUGGCGAAGCUGUGCUUGCACAGCCUAGCCAAGGCGGACGGGUGAGUAACGCGUAAGGAACUUGCCCUGCAGUCAGGGAUAACAGACGGAAACGACUGAUAAGACCUGGUAAAGUCAGGCGGACUCAUGUCCAGCCUGAUGAAAAGAGAUGCUGCAGGAGAGCCUUGCGUCCUAUUAGCUUGUUGGUGGGGUAACGGCCCACCAAGGCGAUGAUAGGUAGCCGGCCUGAGAGGGUGGACAGCCACAAGGGGACUGAGAUACGGCCCUUACUCCUACGGGAGGCAGCAGUGGGGAAUAUUGGACAAUGGGGGCAACCCUGAUCCAGCAAUUCUGUGUGCACGAUGAAGGUUUUCGGAUUGUAAAGUGCUUUCAGCAGGGAAGAAAAAAAUGACGGUACCUGCAGAAGAAGCGACGGCUAAAUACGUG